GUAAGUGCUGACGACCUAGAGCAGGCGGCCCAGCUGGGAGGGAGCGAGGGAGCCCUUGCUUUGGAAUUCAUGCACUUAGAAGUGAAAGCUCUCUGCCCCACCACCCUGCUGCCCCUCUUUCCCUCCCUCCUUCUCUCCAGCCCCCCAGCUUCCAGCAUCCCCAAGCCAGAAAGAGAGGCCUCACCAGAAAGCCAACCCUGAUGGCAUCUUGACCUUGGACCUCCAGCCUCCAGAACUGGCCUGGAGCUGUCCCUUUGCAAAGUCAGAGGAGAUAAGGCCUUGGCUCCCAGUGCCCGGGGAGAAGAUGGGCCCGAACUGUCAUCUGACUCCUCGUUGUGAAACCUGCAGAUGUAAUUCAUGUACCCACUGAGCAGCCUAAGAACGAGGCUACUUCCUGUCUGCAUCCCUUCAGCAGACUGCCUGCCAUACCCAUCACAUUCUGGUUUAACGCUUGCUCAAUAGUCAAACCGUUUUCUUUCUCUUCUAUCAUCAUGGAGAGGUUUUCGGCCUUAGGAGCAGAUUUUGUUUUCAAUCUCUUCCCCACACUUUGCACAGCACCGGGAAUGAAUCUCAUGUCAGGGACAGGCAGAGACACGAAUCCUCCUAUUGACCCGAAGAAGGCAGUCCAGGCCCAGCGGUCUGCGGCUUCUCUCCCAAAGUUUUCAGCUGCUGAUUUUUUUUUAAGAUUGAUUUAUUUAUUUUUGGCUGUGCUGGGUCUUCAUUGCUGUGUGGGGGCUUUUCUCUGUGGUGAGCGGGAGCUGCUCUCUGGUUGCCGUGCGUGGGUCUCUCAUUGUGGUGGCUGCUCUUGUGGUGGAGCCCCGGUUCUGGGGCUUCAGCAGUUGCGGCACAUGGGCUCAGCAGUUGCAGUUUUUGGUCUCUAGCUCACAGGCUCAGUAGUUGUGGUGCAUGGGCUUAGUUCCACAUGCUCCUUGGCAUGUGGAAUCUUCCCAGAUCAGGGACAAAAUGCAGUCUCCUGCAUUGGCAGGUGGAUUCCUACCCACUGGCAGUGGUGGUUUAGUCCCUAAGUCGUGUCUGAUUCUUGUGACCCCAUGAACUGUAGCUCGCCAGGCUCCUCUGUCCAUAGGAUUUUCCAAUCAAGAAUGCUGGAGUGGGUUGCCAUUUCCUUCUCCAGGGUAUCUUCCCAACCCGGGGAUCAAACCUGAGUCUAAUACACUGCAGGCAGAUUCUUUACCGACUGAGCUACCAGGGAAGCCCAGGGGCCACCAGGGAAGCCCCCAGCUGCUGAAUUUCUUACUUGUGGGUUUUGAAUUGUAGGCAGAACAUGCUCUGUGAGCAUCAAAAUAUUGAGCCUAAGUCUACAGG
Molecule: long non-coding RNA, 1323 nt
Organism: Bos taurus (domestic cattle)
Lineage: Eukaryota; Metazoa; Chordata; Mammalia; Artiodactyla; Bovidae
Source: Ensembl